AUUGAACGCUGGCGGAAUGCUUUACACAUGCAAGUCGAACGGCAGCACGGGUGCUUGCACCUGGUGGCGAGUGGCGAACGGGUGAGUAAUACAUCGGAACGUACCCAGUUGUGGGGGAUAACUAACCGAAAGGUUAGCUAAUACCGCAUACGACCUGAGGGUGAAAGCGGGGGACCGUAAGGCCUCGCGCAAUUGGAGCGGCCGAUGUCUGAUUAGCUAGUUGGUGAGGUAAAGGCUCACCAAGGCGACGAUCAGUAGCUGGUCUGAGAGGAGGAUCAGGCACACUGUAACUGAGCCACGGUCCAGACUCCUACGGGAGGCAGCAGUGGGGAAUUUUGGACAAUGGGGGAAACCCUGAUCCAGCCAUUCCGCGUGAGUGAAGAAGGCCUUCGGGUUGUAAAGCUCUUUCGGCAGGGAAGAAACGCUCUGGAAUAAUACUCUGGGGUAAUGACGGUACCUGAAGAAGAAGCACCGGCUAACUACGUGCCAGCAGCCGCCGUAA
This 502-nucleotide ribosomal RNA is filed under the name uncultured bacterium. Its description in RNAcentral is "partial 16S ribosomal RNA". It matches the Rfam family "Bacterial small subunit ribosomal RNA", at positions 30 to 523 of the family's 1533-position model. The record is from RNAcentral.